AUCCUCAGUUCAUAAGUGUGAUGAUUGGAUGCUCAUGCUCCAUGCAUGACAUGUGCCUCCUUUGAACCUUGUUACGACAUCGGCACAUUACCCAUCUGACG
This 101-nucleotide small nucleolar RNA is filed under the name Cavia porcellus (domestic guinea pig). RNAcentral describes it as "Small nucleolar RNA U13". It matches the Rfam family "Small nucleolar RNA U13". The record is from Rfam by way of RNAcentral. Lineage: Eukaryota; Metazoa; Chordata; Mammalia; Rodentia; Caviidae.